UUUAACGGAGAGUUUGAUUCUGGCUCAGAACGAACGCUGGCGGCGUGGAUAAGACAUGCAAGUCGAGCGAGAUUUUCCGCUGUAGCAAUACAGUGGAAGGUCUAGCGGCGAACGGGUGCUUAACACGUGGGCAAUCUGCCUUAAAGUGGGGGAUAGCUCGGCGAAAGCCGAAUUAAUACCGCAUGUGAUUAGAGUGGACAUCCAUUCAAAAUCAAAGGUGGCGCAAGCUACCGCUUUUUGAGGAGCCCGCGGCCUAUCAGCUAGUUGGUGAGGUAAC
Molecule: ribosomal RNA, 277 nt
Filed under: Verrucomicrobiota bacterium
Lineage: Bacteria; Pseudomonadati; Verrucomicrobiota
Description: Verrucomicrobia bacterium partial 16S ribosomal RNA
Rfam family: Bacterial small subunit ribosomal RNA
Source: RNAcentral